UCUUGCAAGAAGAUAACAUGUCUCUCGGACACCAGUCUCGGAUGUGACAAUCCUGAUCAACUGCAGAAAGAAACAUGCUGCAAGACAUGUCUUACAGAUGGGCACAAUCAUCUUCCAAUGCGACAACGCUCAGCGGCCGCCCUGAGAAUGAUCCCAGCAUCUUGGUGCCGACGGACUCGAGCAAGCGGCCAGUCGGGACCAACAACCGCAUCCUCCCCGGGACUCCUUCACCAACGACCCCGGGCAUGGCCUGCCUGCCAAAGGGCACAGAUACAUUUCUCCAUCAGUGGCAGAACAAGACGUCUGUGGUAAUCGUAUUUGAGUUCAAGAUUACGGCGACGGUGUUUAGAUAUGUCAUCAGAAACCGGGUGAUGGAAAUCAACUCUUUGUGCCUCUCAAAAGAUAAGCUGGACAAACUGCUGAGCGGACGGAGGGAAGCGACAAUGGUGGGGGCGACUACGAUCCAAGUUGUAUUCUAUGUACGGAUUCUAUCUAUUCCUACCGGUUUGAGCUGCUGGCCUAGGACUGCUGGGCACUGCCACUGGACUGCUGGGCA
This is a long non-coding RNA of Lineus longissimus, 556 nucleotides long. RefSeq lists it as uncharacterized. NCBI's taxonomy places the organism in Eukaryota, Metazoa, Nemertea, Pilidiophora, Heteronemertea, Lineidae. The record is from RefSeq and is a predicted model, not a curated record. The transcript has 4 exons.